Non-coding RNA from Vicugna pacos (alpaca), 1041 nucleotides. Lineage: Eukaryota; Metazoa; Chordata; Mammalia; Artiodactyla; Camelidae. The record is from RefSeq and is a predicted model, not a curated record.
AUUAAGACAAGGGUGACUUAAACAGUCAGAGCUGGAGGUGCGCAUGCCUGCUCUGUGCCUGGACCCACCAGUUAUUUCCCCUGGGGCAUGUCGCCGGCAUGCGUGUGUGGUCUCCAUUUCAAUGUUUUCAUUUGUCCUAGGUCCUGCCUUCCUGUGACUGAGAAAGCAAAGGAACCCCUAACGUGCGGGCCUUAAGAAGCGGGCCCCUAUCCCUGCUGCAGGGUCCUGGCUUGUGCCUCCGCUCCCGAUAGCCUCAUGGGACGGCCUCCACCCAGCGACACUGGUCCUGACAGUGCUGUCACUGCCCCGCCCUGCGGAUGCUGACGACAGAUGGAGCUAUGUGGGAAGGAAUGUGAGUGGCUUCCAGGGCAGAGUGUGGCCCCAGCCUCCAGCUGGCAAGGACACGGGACCCCAGACCUGCAGCUUCACGGAAGCGGACUCUGCCUCAACCGAAUGCAGUUGGAAGCAGACAUUCCUGCAGAAGAGUGCGCAGCCGGGGGACACCUGGGUUCUCACCUGGGAGACCCAAACAGAGAGCCCAGGGGAGCCUGCUCAGGUUUCUGAGCUGCGGAACCGUCAGAUGACAAAUGGGUGUUAUUUCCAUCCACUAAGUUUGUGGUAACUUGUGCUGCAGCAAGAGAAACAAAUGCGCCUCUGCUCUUGAUGAAGGUCUGGGGGAGACGUGGAGACAGGAUGAGGCAAGUCCAUUUUUUCUGCCCAUCGCACCUCCAUUCCUGUGUCUGCCCACGAGGUCUAGAGAGCUCCUGGUCCCUGCACCAGAUGUGAAGACCCCAGAAUGAACUGGCUGUGGGUGUCCUCUGCUCCGGAAGUUGAUGGAAAUCAGACACGUGCCCUUCUCAUGGUCAAACAACUGCUGAAGACCCGGGAACCAGAUCAGAAAACUGAGCUCAGUGACAUUACGUGACUGCCCAGAGCCACACAGCUGCAGGGCCCUGGAGGCAGGAUUUGAACCUGAAUCUUGAGGAGAGUCUGCAGCCCUUUUGCCUACACAUUCACGAUAUGUAAGUUUUCAUUUACACC